Molecule: long non-coding RNA, 3092 nt
Organism: Pteropus alecto (black flying fox)
Lineage: Eukaryota; Metazoa; Chordata; Mammalia; Chiroptera; Pteropodidae
Exons: 3
Source: RefSeq, a predicted model, not a curated record
GAGACCUACUGUGUGCAAGUCAACUCCGCCACCCAAGGAGGUGGGAAGUUUAGAUUUAUUAAUUUGCUUUCUAUGUGCCAAGAGCCAGUUAGACAAGAUGACUGUCCUCUGGAGUUUUCAUUCUAGUGGAGGAGACAUAAUUAAACAGUAAACCCUAUUCAGAGGAGUAAAAUAAGGUGGUGUGCUAGAGGAUGACUGGAGUAUGCUUUGGAUUGGACGGUGUGGUCUGGGAAAGCCUCUAGGAUAAUGUGAGUGAACUGCCCAACGCACAGUAAGUGCUCUGGCGAUGGUAGCUAUUUGGGUGACGAUAAUGCUUUAUGCAAUAGCUCUUGCUUUGCCGACUAUAUGCUAGGCGCUGUGCCAGGCCUGGUGAUAACAACGGAGAGAGACAGUCCCUGCUCUCACGAGGCAGGCAGAAGUAUGUGCAGUUACCAUAAAAAUGAAGGGCAAAUGCUGAUGUAGGGAAGAUGCCAAAUGGUUGGAGUUCGGAAGUGGGAGAGGACCACCCACUUCAGGAAGGCACAUGGCAGGGUUAAGAGAGGGAAGAAAAAGGAGGAGAAAAGGAAGGUAAAUUCGACCCAAAGGCACCAUUAAUAAUUGUCGGGAUAGGCUAGGAAACACGAGACCCCGCAAACACCGAGAACGCAUGCAGAAACAGACUGCGGAUCUCUACAAAGGGCCUAAUUACAGAACCGUCUGUUGGAGAUUAAGCAAAUAUAAUAGAAUAUAUUAAUAUUUACAGUGCCGGAGGCAGUGCCCUGGGAACCCUCUGGCGCCUUGUGAACUUGUCUGCCUUAGCCUUUGCCGCGUUUUAAAUUCUUUUGGGUUAACCGUCAACAUUUAAAAAAACAUAAUUUUUCACAAGUGUGUCUGGAUGUCUGUUUCCUAAAACAGUCAGAAGAUCCAGCCACCCUGGGCUCCUGUUCCACUCGGCCAACGCUGGCUGGAGAACGGCUAGCUAGAGCACGUGUGCUCCUUCUCUAUUCAGGAAGGUCCCCACCGCUUAGUGACAUUGUCCUGUGUCGCUUUAGCCCUGCUCUCACACUGUUAUUUACCCUAGAGAAGAAUUAGGAGAUAGAGCAUAUUUCUUUGUAAAAGUAAAGAAUGUUCCCAUAUACUUAAUAUGCGAACAAAGUUGGAAGAACACCCCGUGUCCUGCCUGGCCCUCGUAGGCACUUGGGUUUAACCUCCAUACUCCACUGACUAUAGCUGCUUGGUGCCCAGAGUCACCACUCCAGAGGGAAAAGGUUAAGCUGCUUUCCCAAGGGCAAGAAAGGGCCUUGGGAAAGGAGAUGAGGAGGAGGGGCCAGGAAGGCAUUGCAGGGAGAGACCAGAACGUGGAAAAGGGAGAACCCGGCUAAGGGAAGGAUUUACUUUUGCCGAGAGGGUGGAGGCUCUGAAAUGAGGAAAAAAAAAAAAGUUUCAGGCAGCUGUCAGGGUUGGGGAGAAACGUGAAGUCCUUAGAAUCAUUUCUGGAGUGACAGGAAGGAAGGGACUGCAGAGACUUCUGUGAGGGACGGUGGGAUGGUGACCACUGGCUGCCACUCAGGGCUGCGAGAGUGGCCCCCAGGGGCAGCAUCCACGCUCUGAGGACACCGAGUCAGAGGAGGCCGCUGGUGUCCCCUUUAGCACAAAGGGCAGGUAGUCAAAAGGAAGGCAGCUGUGAUUCGCAAUGGCAGACUCUUAUUUUGGGGUUAACAAUCCCUAACGGGGGUUCUGGAGAAGGAAAGUGUGGUGUGCUGUUGAGUCAAUAGGAAUUGGAUGUCGUAAGUAAAAAAAGUGACAGAGCAGAAGAAAGAAGCGGGAGGUUGCUGGGCAGAUCACGGAAUAACUGGCUGCGACAGUGUCGGAUAUUUGCAUGGGCGGCAUGUUGAUUAGGGAAAAAAAGGCUCUUUGUUCUGAAAUGCCUUCAGCAGUGAAAGUCAAGAUGUGUUCAGAGGGGCCACGGUGAACUCGAUCUCCUCCUCCGCGUUGACGGGGUCUCAGGACUGGUCUGCAGAACUCGGAUUCACCUUCCGUAAGGGCUUCUCCUGGCUGUCAGACCACACGAUCUGCCAUCUCUCCGAGUUCCAGCAGCCCUGGCCACUCAGCAGCUACUUCCGGUGGGAGCCGUCUCAAAUCGUUCUCCAGGCGCAAGUGUUAAACUCUCUUAGGUCAAAGAUUAUAUUUUAUAUCUCCCUUGCACCUCCAUUUAUUUGUCACAUAGUAGGUGCGCCAAAAUCCAUGCUAUAUGAAAAUGGUGCAGAGAGCUCCUGGAGGCAGACGACCUGGACUUUAAUCCGGUUUUACACCUGUCAGCCCGACGGGCUUGGGCGAGACGGUGACCUUUCAGCUUCCUCACCUCUGCACAGAGAAGUGAUCUCUGCUCCGCCUACUUCACCAGACGAAUGUACGCAUUCAUGAAAAAUGCGAAUCUUUUUUUUUUUUUUUCCAGCUGGGAACUCCUAUAGAAAUGUACUCCACUGAUCCUUUAGGUGUGCAUUGGGCGGUCACCUUCACUGUGAGAGCGUCCGAGUUCUUUAGCUGGAUCUAGACUUGGAGAAGUGAGAGAGCCCAGCCUUCAGAAGACUCUCCAAAGCCCCAGGGACAGCAGCUGGCAGUUGAACCAUCAUCAACAUUCUUUCAUCUGAAAUGUACCUUGUCACAGACGCUGGGAAGUAGGCUGCAGCUGUAAUUGCCUAAAUUCUUUUCAUAAUGAGAACAUUUUAUUACUCCGCCAAAGGGUGUGUGCCAAGAAAGCCUGUGCCUAAAAAUGACUAAGUAAACCAAAUAACUUCGACACAGAAUAACUUCCAAAAUGAAGAUGGCCGGGGUUCAAUACACAGGCUCAAACAAACCAAUCCUUAAAACUCAAAACAUGACUCAAUCUUUGCUUUGUUCAUACCCUAAGCUGAUAUAAAUCCAGUGUGGAUUAGGGAAUUAAAAUUUAAACAUGAGAUAUAAAACAAAUGGAACAUGCAAAUGACUACACGAAAAUAUACACAAAUACGGGAUGAACUUUGAAUAAGAAGACUUCCUGAGUAUAAAUGAAGAAACCAUACAGAUUAGAUUUGUUUAGAUUUUACAAAUCUGUUUUUUUUUUUUUAGAUUUG